UACGAAGGGGGCUAGCGUUGUUCGGAAUUACUGGGCGUAAAGCGCGCGCAGGCGGUUUUCCAAGUCAGUGGUGAAAGCCCGGAGCUCAACUCCGGAAUUGCCAUUGAAACUGUUAAACUUGAGUACGAGAGAGGUGAGUGGAAUUCCCAGUGUAGAGGUGAAAUUCGUAGAUAUUGGGAAGAACACCGGUGGCGAAGGCGGCUCACUGGCUCGUAACUGACGCUCAGGCGCGAUAGCGUGGGGAUCAAACAGG
Molecule: ribosomal RNA, 253 nt
Filed under: uncultured bacterium
Lineage: Bacteria
Description: partial 16S ribosomal RNA
Rfam family: Bacterial small subunit ribosomal RNA
Source: RNAcentral